Non-coding RNA from Myodes glareolus (Bank vole), 876 nucleotides. The record is from RefSeq and is a predicted model, not a curated record. NCBI's taxonomy places the organism in Eukaryota, Metazoa, Chordata, Mammalia, Rodentia, Cricetidae.
UCUCCCCACUUCUCCCUUUUCCCCUGCCUUCUCUUUCCGCUCCAUAAACCACUAAAUAAACUCUAAACCUAAACUCUCUCUGCAUGACACAUCUGUCUGUCUCCCAUCAAGGCCUCAGGCCACCCACCAGAGACCCACUGAGUCCUUGGAUGGCCUGCAGCUGCCCUGCUGAGACCUCAGGUGACCCACCGCUGCCACUCAUUGGACCAACCUUGCAUCACUCACAUGUCUUUAUAAAUGAUAACAUUGGUGCAUGACUCAGCCAGGCUCUCUCUAUGUUCCCUCCUGCUGACUGAGGACAGGUGGAGACUCUGGACUUUGGAUCACUUUCAACCUUCUGUGUCUGUUCCAUUGCUGCAAAUGAAAACGGCAAGAUUAGUUGAAUUCACAAGGCAACUGCUUCCAGUUCCAGCUCUCGCUCCCAGCCACAGCCAGUGGUGCAGCAGAUCGAGGACACAGUGGCUCAUGACUGAGAAAACAACAAGUCUCAUAUUUUAAAUUGGUCCAAGAGACACCAGAUUGUUCCAUACCACAAAUCCUGGACAGGAAUAAAGCAACCAACUACCCCAGGAUGUGACCAGCACCCACCUUUCUCAGCCACACCCUAAGAAAGACUUUCAUGUUCAUAAAGACGCCGAACCUGGGAGGAGCCUUGAAGAAGGAGAUUGUUCACUGGGCUCCCUACACAGCACUGCUCCAUCCAUGCUGAGCACUGACUCCACACUCCGCUGCUGAGGGAAAUUAGUUCACCAGAAAUGAAGGUUCAUUUGUGGGUUAAGCCCAUUGAACCUCUCAUGGUCCAGAAAGAUAAACUAUGGAAGGCAAAGGCCUGGCUAAUUAGAUCUGAGGGUAAAAUAAAAUAACUCACAUACGUAA